AUCCGGGAGCUCAUCCCAGCUGCGGACAGAGACUCCCGGGCUCCUCCUCUUCACCAAAAAGACUUUGGGCAUGGUGGGAUCCUCUCUUCCGACUGCGGCCCCCUCCUCCCGCUGCUCCCCGCUAGUGGCGGCGGUGGCGCCUGGGUCCCCCCGCUCCUGGAGUCCGGAGCCCACCUUCCCGCCUAGCCUGCCCUCUUCCUGCACCCCCCGCCGCGUUGCUCGGUACUCUCCCCCUCACUCCAGGUUACUCGCAGCCUCCGGGCUCGGCGACACCUAUGCCUUAAAUCGCGCGUGAGACCACGCCGGGGAAAAAGUUUCAUAAGGUGGAAUAGAAAAGGCACCAGGAAACUUGGGAGUGAGCAUGCGCCCUGCAACAUAACGGUGUCAACAAGCUCGCUACCUGUCCGACCGGUUCCGGCGGCCGGGGCUGCCUGAUCCAGCCCUUCCUUAGGCAUGAAUGUUUGCAAAAGAAUUUAACGUCUGAUUCUUCCCCCCUCCUCUUUUUAAAAAAGGAAGAACAUUUUUCAAAUCAACCCUCUGCUUCAUACCCCUAUCACAUGCACUUUAUAGGAUAAAGUCUUUAAAACAAGCCACAGGUUCUCUGCCCCAUGCAGCCCGACUGGGAGCUGGGGUCUCCCACGAGUUGGCCCCCACCUCCGAAGUUGAUUUGUCUCCAUCAAGCAAGCCAGAUAUUAACUGUGAACCUUGUGGGGCUGUUCUAGGCUUUCUGGAAUCUCGGUGGUCGGAUGGGGGGAGGGUCCGCAGUAUCCUUGUCAGGUAAAGGGAGGGGGGGUUGAGAACUUAAGGCUUCCUUCAUCUAGAACACCCCUCAAUAAAGCCUAAAAACACC
RNAcentral lists this long non-coding RNA (850 nucleotides) under Mus musculus (house mouse). RNAcentral's name for it is "long non-coding RNA chr2:144331788-144332638". The record is from RNAcentral. Lineage: Eukaryota; Metazoa; Chordata; Mammalia; Rodentia; Muridae.